AGUGAACGCUGGCGGUAGGCCUAACACAUGCAAGUCGAACGGCAGCACAGUAAGAGCUUGCUCUUACGGGUGGCGAGUGGCGGACGGGUGAGGAAUACAUCGGAAUCUACUUUUUCGUGGGGGAUAACGUAGGGAAACUUACGCUAAUACCGCAUACGACCUACGGGUGAAAGCAGGGGAUCUUCGGACCUUGCGCGAUUGAAUGAGCCGAUGUCGGAUUAGCUAGUUGGCGGGGUAAAGGCCCACCAAGGCGACGAUCCGUAGCUGGUCUGAGAGGAUGAUCAGCAACACUGGAACGGAGACACGGUCCAGAAUCCUACGGGAGGCAGCAGUGGGGAAUAUUGGACAAUGGGCGCAAGCCUGAUCCAGCAAUACCGCGUGGGUGAAGAAGGCCUUCGGGUUGUAAAGCCCUUUUGUUGGGAAAGAAAAGCAGCAGGUUAAUACCCCGCUGUUCUGACGGUACCCAAAGAAUAAGCACCGGCUAACUUCGUG
Molecule: ribosomal RNA, 492 nt
Filed under: uncultured bacterium
Lineage: Bacteria
Description: partial 16S ribosomal RNA
Rfam family: Bacterial small subunit ribosomal RNA
Source: RNAcentral